UUACAAUGCACGAAAGUGUGAUAAGGGAAUCCUAAGUGCUCAGGCAUUGCCUGGGCUUUUGCCAUAUGUAAAUAGUAUGGCGAAUAAGUGGUGGGCAAGACUGGUGCCAGCCGCCGCGGUAACACCAGCGCCACGAGUGGCAAUCACGUUUAUUGGGCCUAAAGCGUCCGUAGCAGGUUUUGUAAAUUUCUUGUGAAACUGCCAGGCUUAACUUGGCAAUGUGCAGGAAACACUGCAAGACUUGAGACAGGGAAGGGUCAGAGGGAUUCCUGAGGGAGCGGUAAAAUGCUAUAAUCUCAGGAGGACCACCGGUGGCGAAGGCGUCUGACUAGAACUGAUCUGACUGUGAGGGACGAAAGCUAGGGGAGCAAACCGG
This 376-nucleotide ribosomal RNA is filed under the name uncultured archaeon. RNAcentral describes it as "bacterial SSU rRNA". It matches the Rfam family "Archaeal small subunit ribosomal RNA", at positions 350 to 727 of the family's 1478-position model. The record is from RNAcentral.